This 397-nucleotide ribosomal RNA is filed under the name Peribaea tibialis. Its description in RNAcentral is "partial 16S rRNA". The record is from RNAcentral. Lineage: Eukaryota; Metazoa; Arthropoda; Insecta; Diptera; Tachinidae.
GGCCGCAGUAUUUUAACUGUGCAAAGGUAGCAUAAUCAUUAGUUUUUUAAUUGAAAACUGGAAUGAAUGGUUGAACGAAAAAUUAACUGUUUUUUAAAAAUAUAUAAAAUUUUAUUUUUUAGUUAAAAAGCUAAAAUUUGUAUAAAAGACGAGAAGACCCUAUAAAUCUUUAUAUUUAAAUUAUUAAAAUUUUAUUGAAUUAUUUUAUUUUUAUAAUUAAUAAUAUUUUAUUGGGGUGAUAGUAAAAUUUAAUAAACUUUUAAUAAAAUUAUACAUUAAUUAAUGAAUUAUUGAUCCAUUAUUAUUGAUUAAAAGAAUAAGUUACUUUAGGGAUAACAGCGUUAUUUUUUUGAAGAGUUCAUAUCGAUAAAAAAGAUUGCGACCUCGAUGUUGGAUU